CCUACGGGAGGCAGCAGUGGGGAAUUUUGGACAAUGGACGCAAGUCUGAUCCAGCCAUGCCGCGUGCGGGAAGAAGGCCUUCGGGUUGUAAACCGCUUUUGUCAGGGAAGAAAUCUUCUGAAUUAAUACUUCGGGAGGAUGACGGUACCUGAAGAAUAAGCACCGGCUAACUACGUGCCAGCAGCCGCGGUAAUACGUAGGGUGCAAGCGUUAAUCGGAAUUACUGGGCGUAAAGCGUGCGCAGGCGGUUAUGCAAGACAGGUGUGAAAUCCCCGAGCUCAACUUGGGAACUGCACUUGUGACUGCAUAGCUAGAGUACGGUAGAGGGGAGUGGAAUUCCGCGUGUAGCAGUGAAAUGCGUAGAUAUGCGGAGGAACACCGAUGGCGAAGGCAGCUCCCUGGACCUGUACUGACGCUCAUGCACGAAAGCGUGGGGGAGCAAACAGGAUUAGAUACCCUGGUAGUCCACGCCCUAAACGAUGUCAACUGGUUGUUGGGAGGGUUUCUUCUCAGUAACGUAGCUAACGCGUGAAGUUGACCGCCUGGGGAGUCGGCCGNAGGUUGAAACUCAAAUGAAUUGACGGCUGGAGAGAGCGAGGACGACGACGAGGGAGGAGG
Molecule: ribosomal RNA, 618 nt
Filed under: uncultured bacterium
Lineage: Bacteria
Description: bacterial SSU rRNA
Rfam family: Bacterial small subunit ribosomal RNA
Source: RNAcentral